Non-coding RNA from Paramuricea clavata, 340 nucleotides. Lineage: Eukaryota; Metazoa; Cnidaria; Anthozoa; Malacalcyonacea; Plexauridae. The record is from the annotation of a GenBank genome assembly.
GGACAAAAUCGAUAUGUGAGGCUUCCCUAAGAAAGGUAGCGGUCGACAGCUAAAAGCCUGAUUUUCAAUUGGUAUGAAAAAAGUAAAUGUAUAAACGUUAUAUAAUGCACGAUAAGCGUGUACUGUUGUAUGUGUAUGGGAGUAGGAAAUUUCGGCUCACUCCUUCGGCAGAUUUGAACUCGAAUUCUCAAACUCAUUAAUAAUUCAUAUAGGAAAUUCAAAAGAAAUGCAUAUUAAUUCUGUAUUUAGAAAUAAGAGGAAGAUUACAGCCGUUUUUCGUCAACUUUAAACUCGACUUUCUCUUAAAGUAUUGAUUCGUUUGAACAGCUAUAUCCAACAC